GGUUAAGUCCCGCAACGAGCGCAACCCUCGUUCUUAGUUGCCAGCAUUAAGUUGGGCACUCUAGGGAGACUGCCGGUGACAAACCGGAGGAAGGUGGGGAUGACGUCAAGUCAGCAUGCCCCUUACGUUCUGGGCUACACACGUACUACAAUGCUAGGGACAAAGAGCAGCCAGACCGCGAGGUUGAGCUAAUCUCAUAAACCCUGGCUCAGUUCAGAUUGCAGGCUGCAACUCGCCUGCAUGAAGGCGGAAUCGCUAGUAAUCGCAGGUCAGCAUACUGCGGUGAAUACGUUCCCGGGCCUUGUACACACCGCCCGUCACACCAUGGGAGUUGGCCACGCCCGAAGUCGUUACUCCAACCCUCGGGAGGAGGACGCCGAAGGCAGGGCUGAUGACUGGGGUGAAGUCGUAACAAGGUAGCC
This 422-nucleotide ribosomal RNA is filed under the name uncultured cyanobacterium. RNAcentral describes it as "bacterial SSU rRNA". It matches the Rfam family "Bacterial small subunit ribosomal RNA", at positions 1078 to 1501 of the family's 1533-position model. The record is from RNAcentral. Lineage: Bacteria; Bacillati; Cyanobacteriota.